GGAUAACCUACCCUUAGGACUGGGAUAACCCUGGGAAACUGAGGCUAAUACCGGAUAGGCAAUUUUUCCUGUAAUGGUUUUUUGUUUAAAUGUUUUUUCGCCUAAGGAUGGGUCUGCGGCCGAUUAGGUAGUUGGUUAGGUAAUGGCUUACCAAGCCGUUGAUCGGUACGGGUUGUGAGAGCAAGAGCCCGGAGAUGGAACCUGAGACAAGGUUCCAGGCCCUACGGGGUGCAGCAGGCGCGAAACCUCCGCAAUGUGAGAAAUCGCGACGGGGGGAUCCCAAGUGCCAUUCUUAACGGGAUGGCUUUUCAUUAGUGUAAAGAGCUUUUGGAAUAAGAGCUGGGCAAGACCGGUGCCAGCCGCCGCGGUAACACCGGCAGCUCUAGUGGUAGCAAUUUUUAUUGGGCCUAAAGCGUCCGUAGCCGGUUUAAUAAGUCUCUGGUGAAAUCCUGUAGCUUAACUGUGGGAAUUGCUGGAGAUACUAUUAGACUUGAGACCGGGAGAGGUUGGAGGUACUCCCAGGGUAGAGGUGAAAUUCUGUAAUCCUGGGAGGACCGCCUGUUGCGAAGGCGUCUAACUGGAACGGUUCUGACGGUGAGGGACGAAAGUUAGGGGCGCGAACCGGAUUAGAUACCCGGGUAGUCCUAACUGUAAACGAUGCGGACUUGGUGUUGGGGUGGCUUUGAGCUGCUCCAGUGCCGAAGGGAAGCUGUUAAGUCCGCCGCCUGGGAAGUACGGUCGCAAGACUGAAGCUUAA
RNAcentral lists this ribosomal RNA (757 nucleotides) under uncultured archaeon. RNAcentral describes it as "bacterial SSU rRNA". It matches the Rfam family "Archaeal small subunit ribosomal RNA", at positions 102 to 859 of the family's 1478-position model. The record is from RNAcentral.